CGGGCAUAGCAAUAUGUCAGCGGCAGACGGGUGAGUAACGCGUGGGAACGUACCUUUUGGUUCGGAACAACUGAGGGAAACUUCAGCUAAUACCGGAUAAGCCCUUACGGGGAAAGAUUUAUCGCCGAAAGAUCGGCCCGCGUCUGAUUAGCUAGUUGGUGAGGUAAUGGCUCACCAAGGCGACGAUCAGUAGCUGGUCUGAGAGGAUGAUCAGCCACAUUGGGACUGAGACACGGCCCAAACUCCUACGGGAGGCAGCAGUGGGGAAUAUUGGACAAUGGGCGCAAGCCUGAUCCAGCCAUGCCGCGUGAGUGAUGAAGGCCCUAGGGUUGUAAAGCUCUUUUGUGCGGGAAGAUAAUGACGGUACCGCAAGAAUAAGCCCCGGCUAACUUCGUGCCAGCAGCCGCGGUAAUACGAAGGGGGCUAGCGUUGCUCGGAAUCACUGGGCGUAAAGGGUGCGUAGGCGGGUCUUUAAGUCAGGGGUGAAAUCCUGGAGCUCAACUCCAGAACUGCCUUUGAUACUGAAGAUCUUGAGUUCGGGAGAGGUGAGUGGAACUGCGAGUGUAGAGGUGAAAUUCGUAGAUAUUCGCAAGAACACCAGUGGCGAAGGCGGCUCACUGGCCCGAUACUGACGCUGAGGCACGAAAGCGUGGGGAGCAAACAGGAUUAGAUACCCUGGUAGUCCACGCUGUAAACGAUGAAUGCCAGCCGUUAGUGGGUUUACUCACUAGUGGCGCAGCUAACGCUUUAAGCAUUCCGCCUGGGGAGUACGGUCGCAAGAUUAAAACUCAAGGAAUUGACGGGGGCCCGCACAAGCGGUGGAGCAUGGGGUUUAAUUCGACGCAACGCGCAGACCUUACCAGCCCUUGACAUCCCGGUCGCGGACUCCAGAGACGGAGUUCUUCAGUUCGGCUGGACCGGAGACAGGUGCUGCAU
RNAcentral lists this ribosomal RNA (936 nucleotides) under Bradyrhizobium elkanii. Its description in RNAcentral is "bacterial SSU rRNA". It matches the Rfam family "Bacterial small subunit ribosomal RNA", at positions 67 to 1046 of the family's 1533-position model. Lineage: Bacteria; Pseudomonadati; Pseudomonadota; Alphaproteobacteria; Hyphomicrobiales; Nitrobacteraceae. The record is from RNAcentral.